Molecule: long non-coding RNA, 953 nt
Filed under: Mytilus galloprovincialis (Mediterranean mussel)
Lineage: Eukaryota; Metazoa; Mollusca; Bivalvia; Mytilida; Mytilidae
Source: RNAcentral
GGGAAACAAACAUAUUUUUAAUUUUGGCCCAAGGGUAACACUUAAUGCCCCUGGAAUGCUGAGGCAGGGGCAUACAACUAUUCUUGUUUAAUUCUAACAUGUUCAUGAAGUUGGAAAAGCUUUUUUUAAUCCAAAAAUACUUAAAUUCUAGCAAAAGUACAUGUAAAUCAUUAUAUGUUUCUUCAAUAUUUAAAAUAUUAACAUAAACCUUUGAGAUAAUAAAAAUGUCCUUAAUUGUACGUCCCGAUCCUUAGGCCAAAUUAAAACAUAUGUGUGGUUCCAGUUACCCUAUAGCUACCUAUCCUACUUUUUAGUCCUAAUAUAUAAUAGCCAACCAUAAAGAUUUUUUUGUCAUUUUUCAAUAAGCACGAUCAAAGUCAGAAUGUUCCUCCCAUAGCCAUAAUGUAAAAAAAAAUCCUUUACUACAUACCCUAACUUUUCUUACAUGUAACUGGAACCACAUACUUUUUUUUAUUCAGCCUUAAUCUUAAAACUGUGUCACUCUGGCCACUCAAAAUUGUAUUUGAAGACCUGACAUGCAGUGAGUCUUCUGCAUGCAGAUUUUGAAUUAUACAACAUGUAUUCUGAUAAUUGUUUACGAAGACCAGUGUUUCUUGUGCAUGUAGACUUAUACAUUUUUUAAAUUUAAGAUGUAAAAAAAUAAUAAUUCAUGACAAAAAGUUCUGUUAAAACAGAAAGUAUGUAAGCUUCUCUUGCUGGGAAAGGUAAUUUCUUAUACUCUUUAUGUCAUUUUGCAUGUGUUCAGAUUUAAUCUAUAACAAUUUAUUGUUUUGGUUAAGGCAAAUGAUAACUUAAUUGCACUGUGACCAGGUGACAAAACUUGCAAAAAUAUACAUGUACAGUUCAUUAAUGAAGUAUAAUCAUGAUAAUCUAGAGAUUAGCUUUCAGAAGUAUUCAUAAACAUGGUGUUACUCAAUAUUUUCUUUAUCAUG